This 468-nucleotide ribosomal RNA is filed under the name uncultured bacterium. Its description in RNAcentral is "partial 16S ribosomal RNA". It matches the Rfam family "Bacterial small subunit ribosomal RNA", at positions 28 to 507 of the family's 1533-position model. The record is from RNAcentral.
GACGAACGCUGGCGGCGUGCUUAACACAUGCAAGUCGAACGGAAAGGCCCUGCUUUUGUGGGGUGCUCGAGUGGCGAACGGGUGAGUAACACGUGAGUAACCUGCCCUUGACUUUGGGAUAACUUCAGGAAACUGGGGCUAAUACCGGAUAGGAGCUCCUGCUGCAUGGUGGGGGUUGGAAAGUUUCGGCGGUUGGGGAUGGACUCGCGGCUUAUCAGCUUGUUGGUGGGGUAGUGGCUUACCAAGGCUUUGACGGGUAGCCGGCCUGAGAGGGUGACCGGACACAUUGGGACUGAGAUACGGCCCAGACUCCUACGGGAGGCAGCAGUGGGGAAUAUUGCACAAUGGGCGGAAGCCUGAUGCAGCAACGCCGCGUGCGGGAUGACGGCCUUCGGGUUGUAAACCGCUUUCGCCUGUGACGAAGCGUGAGUGACGGUAAUGGGUAAAGAAGCACCGGCUAACUACGUG